GUGCUUGCUUCAGCAGCACAUAUACUAAAAUUGGAACAAUGCAGAGAAGAUUAGCACGGCCCCUGUGCAAGGAUGACAUGCAAAUUCGUGACAUGUUCCUUAUUUUU
This is a small nuclear RNA of Bison bison bison, 107 nucleotides long. The record is from Ensembl. Lineage: Eukaryota; Metazoa; Chordata; Mammalia; Artiodactyla; Bovidae.